UACGUAGGGUGCGAGCGUUGUCCGGAAUUAUUGGGCGUAAAGAGCUCGUAGGCGGUGUGUCGCGUCGGUCGUGAAAACUUUCAGCUUAACUGGGAGCUUGCGGUCGAUACGGGCAUCACUGGAGUUCGGCAGGGGAGACUGGAAUUCCUGGUGUAGCGGUGAAAUGCGUAGAUAUCUGGAGGAACACCGGUGGCGAAGGCGGCAUCCUGGACCGGCAUUGACGCUGAGGCGCGAAAGCCAGGGGAGCAAACGGG
This 254-nucleotide ribosomal RNA is filed under the name uncultured bacterium. RNAcentral's name for it is "partial 16S ribosomal RNA". It matches the Rfam family "Bacterial small subunit ribosomal RNA", at positions 524 to 776 of the family's 1533-position model. The record is from RNAcentral.